AGAACGAACGCUGGCGGCAUGCCUAAUACAUGCAAGUCGAACGAACUCUUCGGAGUUAGUGGCGCACGGGUGCGUAACGCGUGGGAAUCUGCCCCUUGGUUCGGAAUAACAGUUGGAAACGACUGCUAAUACCGGAUGAUGACGAAAGUCCAAAGAUUUAUCGCCCAGGGAUGAGCCCGCGUAGGAUUAGCUAGUUGGUGAGGUAAAGGCUCACCAAGGCGACGAUCCGUAGCUGGUCUGAGAGGAUGAUCAGCCACACUGGAACUGAGACACGGUCCAGACUCCUACGGGAGGCCAGUCCAGUGGGGAAUAGUUGGACAACGUGGGCGCAAGCCUGAUCCUAGCCAUACCG
This 352-nucleotide ribosomal RNA is filed under the name uncultured soil bacterium. Its description in RNAcentral is "bacterial SSU rRNA". It matches the Rfam family "Bacterial small subunit ribosomal RNA", at positions 26 to 399 of the family's 1533-position model. The record is from RNAcentral.